AAGCCAUUAUGCGGGCAAUCUCUUACUAGCUCUUAAACCUCGCCCAAGCAUCGCUGAGUGAUUCGUCAAUAUCCUGUUUAAAAUUGGUGAUCAACUUCCUUCUUCU
This is a small nucleolar RNA of Benincasa hispida (wax gourd), 106 nucleotides long. Lineage: Eukaryota; Viridiplantae; Streptophyta; Magnoliopsida; Cucurbitales; Cucurbitaceae. The record is from RefSeq and is a predicted model, not a curated record.